RNAcentral lists this ribosomal RNA (427 nucleotides) under uncultured bacterium. RNAcentral's name for it is "bacterial SSU rRNA". It matches the Rfam family "Bacterial small subunit ribosomal RNA", at positions 29 to 483 of the family's 1533-position model. The record is from RNAcentral.
AAUCAACGCUGGCGGCGCGCUUAACACAUGCAAGUCGAACGGGAAAGUGGAGCAAUCCAUGAGUACAGUGGCGUACGGGUGAGUAACACGUGGGUAAUCUGCCUUCUGGUGGGGAAUAACUCUGGGAAACCGGAGCUAAUACCGCAUAAGCCUGGAAAGGGAAAGCAGGAAACUGCGCCGGAAGAGGAGCCCGCGGCCGAUUAGCUGGCUGGUGAGGUAAAGGCUCACCAGGGCGAAGAUCGGUAGCCGGCCUGAGAGGGCACACGGCCACACUGGCACUGAAACACGGGCCAGACUCCUACGGGAGGCAGCAGUGGGGAAUCUUGCACAAUGGGGGCAACCCUGAUGCAGCGACGCCGCGUGAGCGAUGAAGCCCCUUCGGGGUGUAAAGGCUCUUUCGACGGGAACGAUAAUGACGGUACCCGGA